RNAcentral lists this ribosomal RNA (464 nucleotides) under Streptococcus parasanguinis. RNAcentral's name for it is "bacterial SSU rRNA". It matches the Rfam family "Bacterial small subunit ribosomal RNA", at positions 28 to 474 of the family's 1533-position model. The record is from RNAcentral. Lineage: Bacteria; Bacillati; Bacillota; Bacilli; Lactobacillales; Streptococcaceae.
GAUGAACGCUGGCGGCGUGCCUAAUACAUGCAAGUAGAACGCUGAAGCUUGGUGCUUGCACCGAGCGGAAGAGUUGCGAACGGGUGAGUAACGCGUAGGUAACCUGCCUCUUAGCGGGGGAUAACUAUUGGAAACGAUAGCUAAUACCGCAUAAAAGUCGACAUUGCAUGAUGUUGACUUGAAAGGUGCAACUGCAUCACUAAGAGAUGGACCUGCGUUGUAUUAGCUAGUUGGUGAGGUAACGGCUCACCAAGGCGACGAUACAUAGCCGACCUGAGAGGGUGAUCGGCCACACUGGGACUGAGACACGGCCCAGACUCCUACGGGAGGCAGCAGUAGGGAAUCUUCGGCAAUGGACGGAAGUCUGACCGAGCAACGCCGCGUGAGUGAAGAAGGUUUUCGGAUCGUAAAGCUCUGUUGUAAGAGAAGAACGAGUGUGAGAGUGGAAAGUUCACACUGUGACG